RNAcentral lists this non-coding RNA (146 nucleotides) under uncultured eukaryote. The record is from RNAcentral.
UGCAACCUGCAAUUACUCUGGGGCAAAAAAAAGAAUGAAAAAAGAAUGAAAAAAGAAGAAAAAAAAAAGUUGCCCGUUGCGUGCCUGUUUUCUUAAUGUCGUUGCGCUGCGUGUUUGCUUUCUGCAUGUUUGCUUUCUGCUUGCUU